AACGAACGCUGGCGGCAGGCCUAACACAUGCAAGUCGAACGGACCCUUCGGGAUUAUUGGCAUACGGGGGAGUAACGGGUGGGAAGGGACCCUUUGCUACGGAAUAACUCAGGGAAACUGGAGCUAAUACCGAAUGUGCCCUACGGGGGAAAGAUUUAUCGGCAAAGGAUCGGCCCGCGUUGCAUUAGCUAGUUGUUGGGGUAAUAGCCUACCAAGGCGACGAUCCAUAGCUUGUCUGAGAGGAUGGUCAGCCACACUGAGACUGAGACACGGCCCAGACUCCUACGCAAGGCAGCAGUGCGGAAUAUUGCACCACCGCCGGAAGCAUGAUCCACCCCUGCCCGGUGAGUGCUGAAGGUCUUAGGAUUGUAAAGCUCUUUUAACGGUGAACAUCAUGACGGUACCCGGAGAAAAAGCCCCGGCUAACUUCGUG
This 433-nucleotide ribosomal RNA is filed under the name uncultured bacterium. RNAcentral describes it as "partial 16S ribosomal RNA". It matches the Rfam family "Bacterial small subunit ribosomal RNA", at positions 29 to 507 of the family's 1533-position model. The record is from RNAcentral.